UCUUGAUGCAUCACUUCCUUGUACCCUGAGAGACGUUGGGUCCGGUCGAGCAGAGUAUAUUGUGAAAACCCCUCCUUGGUUAAAUGAAGUGGUUUAUACAAACACUAGUUAUGGCUUUUUAUUUUUGUUUUUAGUGAUUUUUCAUUAUUAUUUAUUUGUUUGUUUACAGAAAGUUUUGCUAUUCAAAAUAUAAUUUAAAAUGUAAAAAAUAAAAAAUAAAAUAUGGAGAGUUGCGAAAAAAAUGUAGUCAAAUUAAUUUGCAAAAGGGAAGAAAGACAAGGAAAGAUAAAAACAAGAGGUUGGCAAGAGAAAAACUGAAAAUCUGAAUAUCGUAUAUCUCUUGCUGUAGAUCAGGAGUUUUCAGCAAUCCUGACUGAGUUGUGGAAGCUGGACGUGAACCGCGUGAAACCGGGAACAGACUACACCAUCAAUCUACAGCCAGAUGUGAACAAUCAUGUCAUUAGCCUGCAGUUUAGCUGGAAAAGCCUGGUGAAGCCACUGGGAAGCUCCUCCAUUGGAGUCAGCCCUGAGUUUGAGGUGGCACUCUUCACCAUCAUCUUCCUCAAGAGUAGCGAGCGUGUUACUAACACUAUUGUCAAAGUGGACAAGUACUUGCUGGAGAUUGUGGUGUGCCGACAUGGAGGUGCCAUUGGAACUUCCUAGCCCAAACUACUCGACCAAACACCAGGGAUUUGUAGUUUUCCUUCUAAACAGUUUAAGAAGAUUUAAGUUUCUUCCAUAUAGCCUUAUCGGCAUCAUUUUGAUAGUUUCAGAAAGCAACAUUUAGUCAAUUGGAAUUUAGUCAAUUGGAAUUUUUUACAUGAUAAACUGUUACUGACCCGUACUAUAGUGCUAUUUUCAAAAAAAUGUUUACAAACUUUAUAACCAAGUGGCUAUCUGAAUAAACUGUUACUCAUAUAUAGUUCAUUAAAAUACAGGAAUUACACAUCUGUAAUCCUUAAAGCUGCCACUACAUUUUUUUUGUAUAAUUAGUUGUAUAAUGUCCCAUGUUUAUUUAGUUUAAAAGCAAAUAAAAAUAUAGUAAGUUGUAGCCAUGUAUAUUUGCUUAUUGUGGUGUCUAAAUUUAUAGUGAACUGUUUAAUACCACUUUAUAACCUAAGAAUGCUAUUAGGUAGAAAAAUGCAUAUUGCUGUUGGUUCGGCAUGUAAUUUAGAUGUUCAGAAUGUCUAUCUAUAUUUUUAAAAAAUAAUAAUAAUAAACUGAAUGUGUCAUUAAAAUGUAAACAUUUCAAGUUCAA
Hemibagrus wyckioides is the source of this 1258-nucleotide RNA transcript. It is a transcript of the gene named uridylate-specific endoribonuclease C-like, with no coding region annotated. The transcript is spliced from 3 exons. Lineage: Eukaryota; Metazoa; Chordata; Actinopteri; Siluriformes; Bagridae. The record is from RefSeq and is a predicted model, not a curated record.